RNAcentral lists this small RNA (2106 nucleotides) under Rhabdias ranae. RNAcentral's name for it is "eukaryotic LSU rRNA". The stretch from base 1169 to 2106 matches the Rfam family "Eukaryotic large subunit ribosomal RNA", at positions 1 to 926 of the family's 3401-position model. The record is from RNAcentral. Lineage: Eukaryota; Metazoa; Nematoda; Chromadorea; Rhabditida; Rhabdiasidae.
GCUCUUUCGCGAUUCGGUGGUUGGUGGUGCAUGGCCGUUCUUAGUUGGUGGAGCGAUCUGUCUGGUUUAUUCCGAUAACGAGCGAGACUCUAGCCUACUAAAUAGUUUCUGGAUCUUCGGAUCUAGCGAACUUCUUAGAGGAAUCGGCGGCUUCGAUCCGCAUGAAAUAGAGCAAUAACAGGUCUGUGAUGCCCUUAGAUGUCCGGGGCUGCACGCGAGUUACUAUGGAGAAUCCAACGUGUCUACCUUGGCCGAAGGGUCUGGGCAAGCCGUUGAAACGUCUCUUUGAUCGGGAUAGGGAAUUGUGCAAUUAUUUCCCUUAAACGAGGAAUUCCUAGUAAGAACGAGUCAUCAACUCGUUCUGAUUUGGUCCCUGCGCUUUGUACACACCGCCCGUCGCUACCCGGGACUGAACUGUUUCGAGAAAACCGGGGAUUGACUCACGGGACUUGUUCCUUGUGGUGUUGAGAACCAGUUUAAUCGCGAUGGUUUGAACCGGGUAAAAGUCGUAACAAGGUACCGGUAGGUGAACCUGCCGGUGGAUCAAUACUGAAUAUAGACUCAAGUAGUUUUUUAUUCGGUGAUCAACCCCCUGCCUUUAAAACGGUUAUAAUUGGCGUCUAUACGUACUGCUAACGCUCGCGGACCGUCGACGUGUAUUGAUCAGUAUGCAUAGCAUUCAUUAACUCUCACAUAUAUACUUCGUUGUGUACAUGUGAGUGUUGAUGGAUGUUAGACUUAAUGAAGGUCCGCUCCGGAUUUCGCCAAUAUCAUAUUUAUUGUACCAUAAAACAAAGACUCAUUACUACUCCUAGUGGUGGAUCACUCGGCUCGCAGGUCGAUGAAGAACGCAGCUAGCUGCGAUAGUUGGUGCGAAUUGCAAACACAUUGAGCACUAAACUUUCGAACGCAUAUUGCGCCGUCGGUUUUUCCGUCGGCAGGUCUGUCUGAGGGUUACAAACAAGUACUUGCAAGAUAACGCUAGCAUGUUGCGUUAUUUUGUUUAGCGAGAAGCUCGGUGUGCAUGUGUGAUAUGUGCUAGUGUGUCACACAUGUGUCGUCCUUCUCUGGUUUGUCAUUCUCAUUGAUAUAUAAUCAUCUGAAUCACAAACACGUGCAAGUUGUGUUGGCUGGUGUUGGUUGAUGAUAUAAUAUCAUUUUGCAAUUGCAACCUCAGAUCAGUCCUGAUUACCCGCUGAACUUAAGCAUAUCAGUAAGCGGAGGAAAAGAAACUAACUAUGAUUCCUUUAGUAACAGCGAGUGAACAAGGAAGAGCCCAGCGCUGAAUCUUUCGGUCUAUGACCGCUAAGAAUUGUAGCGUAUAGGUGUAGCUUUCUACGGCCGAUGUAUACUCAAAGUCCCUUUGAUUGGGGCCACAGUCCUGAGAAGGUGCAAGACCUGUACGAGUUGCAUUGUGUUGUAGUCGGUUGCUCCUUGGAGUCGGGUUGCCUGAGAACGCAGCCUGAAUUGGGUGGUAAACUCCAUCUAAGGCUAAAUAGUACUGCGAGUCCGAUAGCAAACAAGUACCGUGAGGGAAAGUUGCAAAGAACUUUGAAGAGAGAGUUCAAGAGUGCGUGAAACCACUGGGAUGGAAACGGAUAGAGUUGACGAAUUGGGCGAUAUUCAGCUGUUUUGCGUGAGCAAAGUGGUGUACUUAUCGUCUGUGUGCGCUGAGAGUCUUGAUUGAACAUUCUAAACCGUCGUAUUUUGUUGCCCGUCGUCUCACGACGAUGGUGUCUUGUGCGUGCGGGUUGGGAUGUUUCGGUUAAGUAUUUUCGGUGUGAAAGUCGACCACCUAUCCGACCCGUCUUGAAACACGGACCAAGGAGUCUAGCGUAUGUGCGAGUCAUUGGGUGGUAAACCUAUUGGCGUAACGAAAGUAAAGGUCGUUUCUUGCGGCUGAUAUGGGAUCCGUGCGGUUUCGAUCGUGCGGCGCACCAUAGCCCUGUCUCGAAGGCUUGCCUUGAGAUGGAGGUAGAGCGCAUGCGCUAGGACCCGAAAGAUGGUGAACUAUACGUGAGCAGGAUGAAGCCGGAGGAAACUCUGGUGGAAGUCCGUAACGGUUCUGACGUGCAAAUCGAUCGUCUGACUUGCGUAUAGGGGCGA